Molecule: ribosomal RNA, 570 nt
Filed under: Pseudomonas sp.
Lineage: Bacteria; Pseudomonadati; Pseudomonadota; Gammaproteobacteria; Pseudomonadales; Pseudomonadaceae
Description: bacterial SSU rRNA
Rfam family: Bacterial small subunit ribosomal RNA
Source: RNAcentral
UCCUGGAUUCAGCGGCGGACGGGUGAGUAAUGCCUAGGAAUCUGCCUGGUAGUGGGGGACAACGUUUCGAAAGGAACGCUAAUACCGCAUACGUCCUACGGGAGAAAGCAGGGGACCUUCGGGCCUUGCGCUAUCAGAUGAGCCUAGGUCGGAUUAGCUAGUUGGUGAGGUAAUGGCUCACCAAGGCGACGAUCCGUAACUGGUCUGAGAGGAUGAUCAGUCACACUGGAACUGAGACACGGUCCAGACUCCUACGGGAGGCAGCAGUGGGGAAUAUUGGACAAUGGGCGAAAGCCUGAUCCAGCCAUGCCGCGUGUGUGAAGAAGGUCUUCGGAUUGUAAAGCACUUUAAGUUGGGAGGAAGGGUUGUAGAUUAAUACUCUGCAAUUUUGACGUUACCGACAGAAUAAGCACCGGCUAACUCUGUGCCAGCAGCCGCGGUAAUACAGAGGGUGCAAGCGUUAAUCGGAAUUACUGGGCGUAAAGCGCGCGUAGGUGGUUUGUUAAGUUGGAUGUGAAAUCCCCGGGCUCAACCUGGGAACUGCAUCCAAACUGGCAAGCUAGAGUAUGG